Molecule: ribosomal RNA, 253 nt
Filed under: uncultured bacterium
Lineage: Bacteria
Description: partial 16S ribosomal RNA
Rfam family: Bacterial small subunit ribosomal RNA
Source: RNAcentral
UACGUAGGGGGCAAGCGUUAUCCGGAAUCAUUGGGCGUAAAGCGCGUGUAGGCGGUUCCGUAAGUCCGCUCUGAAAGCCCAGGGCUCAACCCUGGGAGGCGGGUGGAUACUACGGAACUGGAGUACGGAAGAGGAGAUUGGAAUUCCUGGUGUAGCGGUGGAAUGCGCAGAUAUCAGGAGGAACACCGAUGGCGAAGGCAGAUCUCUGGGCCGUAACUGACGCUGAGGAGCGAAAGCGUGGGGAGCGAACAGG